This 447-nucleotide ribosomal RNA is filed under the name uncultured bacterium. RNAcentral's name for it is "partial 16S ribosomal RNA". It matches the Rfam family "Bacterial small subunit ribosomal RNA", at positions 330 to 793 of the family's 1533-position model. The record is from RNAcentral.
GCCAGACUCCUACGGGGGGCAGCAGUGGGGAAUAUUGCACAAUGGGGGGAACCCUGAUGCAGCGACGCCGCGUGGGUGAAGGAGCACCUCGGUGCGUAAAGCCCUAUCGGCAGGGAAGAAACAGACGGUACCUGACUAAGAAGCCCCGGCUAACUACGUGCCAGCAGCCGCGGUAAUACGUAGGGGGCAAGCGUUAUCCGGAUUCACUGGGUGUAAAGGGAGCGUAGACGGCGACGCAAGUCUGGAGUGAAAGCCCGGGGCCCAACCCCGGGACUGCUCUGGAAACUGCGGCGCUGGAGUACGGGAGGGGCAGGCGGAAUUCCUGGUGUAGCGGUGAAAUGCGUAGAUAUAUGGAGGAACACCGGUGGCGAAAGCGGCUCUCUGGCCUGUAACUGACACUGAGGCUCGAAAGCGUGGGGAGCAAACAGGAUUAGAUACCCGCGUACG